RNAcentral lists this non-coding RNA (23 nucleotides) under Cricetulus griseus (Chinese hamster). The record is from RNAcentral. Lineage: Eukaryota; Metazoa; Chordata; Mammalia; Rodentia; Cricetidae.
AUUGGGGAGAAAGUGGAGAAAGG